GGUCCAAUUGCGGAGUGGCCCGCACCUGAAUCUCAUAGGAAAUCGUGAACUUUCCGUGCAGGAGACGCCCGUUCGACUCGGGCUUGGACCG
Molecule: non-coding RNA, 91 nt
Organism: Mycena vulgaris
Lineage: Eukaryota; Fungi; Basidiomycota; Agaricomycetes; Agaricales; Mycenaceae
Source: the annotation of a GenBank genome assembly